AUGCCGCUGCCUCGUAAGGGCGGAGGAAGGCGCGGGAGGCGCGGGGGCCGCUCCGGUGCGGCGGCCGGCGGGGAGCGGGGCCCUUGGGGCCGGCCGGGAGCGGCGCUGGGCGGCCGCGGCGGGCGGCGGCCACCGGCCAGGAGCGGCGGCAAAGUUUUGGUGUGGGGGGCCAGAGGCGCGCAGGGGGAUUAUGAUCGGUGCCGGCGAGGGAUUCCCAGCCAUUGCCAGGGAACUCCUAUGGGAAUGGGAAGUGGAACACUACCCACACCAGGAAGACCAGAUCCAGCAGAUAGCGGAUAUGAGAACUUUGCUGACUUCAGAAAGCUGAGUGUAACACCAACAGACUUCAGUCAAAGGAAAUAUUAUCCUUCCAAACAACUCAUACUUAGACAACUUCUGGUAGCUUUAAAUUAACUGGUUGUUCACCUGGAAAGAUACUGCUAUUGUUUCUUUCAGCACACAUGGAGGAAGGUUACAACAAACUUUGUAAUCCUGGCUAAUAAGACUGUGGCUUUCUUAUUAAAAGUAGGAGGUGGGCCAACUGUAAAGGGAUUAUUUUUUACUUAGCCUGCAGGACUUUAUCUCCACCUGAACACUGGACAUAAACCGGAGUCAAUUUUAAUGACCUGAGAUUUUGCUACCUGUGCUUUAUUAUUGUUAUCAGUUCUUUAACGCUUUGGUAC
RNAcentral lists this long non-coding RNA (683 nucleotides) under Cairina moschata (Muscovy duck). RNAcentral's name for it is "domestica (muscovy Duck (domestic type)) lncRNA (ENSCMMG00000010134.1)". The record is from RNAcentral. Lineage: Eukaryota; Metazoa; Chordata; Aves; Anseriformes; Anatidae.